This 253-nucleotide ribosomal RNA is filed under the name uncultured bacterium. RNAcentral's name for it is "partial 16S ribosomal RNA". It matches the Rfam family "Bacterial small subunit ribosomal RNA", at positions 524 to 776 of the family's 1533-position model. The record is from RNAcentral.
GACGUAGGGCGCGAGCGUUGUCCGGAUUUAUUGGGCGUAAAGAGCUCGUAGGCGGUCAGUCGCGUCUGCUGUGAAAACUCGGGGCUUAACUCCGGGCCUGCAGUGGGUACGGGCUGACUAGAGUGCGGUAGGGGAGACUGGAAUUCCUGGUGUAGCGGUGAAAUGCGCAGAUAUCGGGAGGAACACCAGUAGCGAAGGCGGCUCGCUGGGCCAUUCCUGACGCUGAGACGCGAAAGCUAGGGGAGCGAACAGG